AUGGCGGACCGCGUCCACCCCGCGCCACUGCUGCCACUCUCCACCCCACCUGCCCCGCCGACUGACAACAGAGACGCGGCCGCGGAGAACGCGCCGCUGCGCUCCACAGCGGCGGCGCCGGGCGCGUCGUACGUCGUGCAUGUGCCCAAGGACCAGGUGCUCCGGGUCCCGCCCCCGGACCGCAAGCUCGCCGCGCGGACGGCCCGGCGCCGCAUGCUCCGCCGCGCCUGCUGCGGCGCGUGCUGCGCGCUCCUCCUCCUGCUCGUCCUCGCCGCGGCGUUCGUCGGCGCCGUCUACCUCGUCCUCCGCCCUAGGGCGCCCUCCUUCUCCGUCACAUCCCUCUCCGUCGCCGGCCUCCUCGACCCCUCCCCCGCGCAGCUCGACGCCGCCGUGCGCGCGGACAACGGCGCCAACAGGAAGGUCGGCGUGGACUACCGCGGCGGCGGCGAGGUCAGCGUCUCCUACUCCGGCGUCCUCCUCGCGACGGGCCGCUGGCCGGCCUUCUACCAGGCGCCGAGGAACGUGACGCUGAUCUCGAUGCCGCUCACCGGGAGGGACGGCGUGGCCCUCACGGACGAUCAGAGGGGGCGGCUGGCGGAGCAGGCCGCGGCGGGCGCCGUGCCGCUGACGGUGGAGGCGCGGGUGCCGGUGCGGGUGAGGCUCGGGAAGGUGCUGCGGACGUGGACCGUGGACGUGUGGGCGCGGUGCGAGGUCACGGUGGACAGGAUCGACGGCGAGACGACGGCCGCCAACAGGGGGUGCAGGGUCAAGGCCAAGCCGCUCUGGUGGUGGUGGUGA
Molecule: ribosomal RNA, 798 nt
Filed under: Triticum aestivum (bread wheat)
Lineage: Eukaryota; Viridiplantae; Streptophyta; Magnoliopsida; Poales; Poaceae
Description: partial small subunit ribosomal RNA
Source: RNAcentral